GACGAACGCUGGCGGCGUGCUUAACACAUGCAAGUCGAACGGAAAGGCCCUGCUUUUGUGGGGUGCUCGAGUGGCGAACGGGUGAGUAACACGUGAGUAACCUGCCCUUGACUUCGGGAUAACUUCAGGAAACUGGGGCUAAUACCGGAUAGGAGCUCCUGCUGCAUGGUGGGGGUUGGAAAGUUUCGGCGGUUGGGGAUGGACUCGCGGCUUAUCAGCUUGUUGGUGGGGUAGUGGCUUACCAAGGCUUUGACGGGUAGCCGGCCUGAGAGGGUGACCGGCCACAUUGGGACUGAGAUACGGCCCAGACGCCUACGGGAGGCAGCAGUGGGGAAUAUUGCACAAUGGGCGGAAGCCUGAUGCAGCAACGCCGCGUGCGGGAUGACGGCCUUCGGGUUGCAAACCGCUUUCGCCUGUGACGAAGCGUGAGUGACGGUAAUGGGUAAAGAAGCACCGGCUAACUACGUG
This 468-nucleotide ribosomal RNA is filed under the name uncultured bacterium. RNAcentral describes it as "partial 16S ribosomal RNA". It matches the Rfam family "Bacterial small subunit ribosomal RNA", at positions 28 to 507 of the family's 1533-position model. The record is from RNAcentral.